This 800-nucleotide ribosomal RNA is filed under the name unidentified microorganism. RNAcentral's name for it is "bacterial SSU rRNA". It matches the Rfam family "Bacterial small subunit ribosomal RNA", at positions 632 to 1429 of the family's 1533-position model. The record is from RNAcentral.
ACGGGCAGACUAGAGUGCGGUAGGGGAGAUUGGAAUUCCUGGUGUAGCGGUGGAAUGCGCAGAUAUCAGGAGGAACACCGAUGGCGAAGGCAGAUCUCUGGGCCGUAACUGACGCUGAGGAGCGAAAGGGUGGGGAGCAAACAGGCUUAGAUACCCUGGUAGUCCACCCCGUAAACGUUGGGAACUAGUUGUGGGGUCCAUUCCACGGAUUCCGUGACGCAGCUAACGCAUUAAGUUCCCCGCCUGGGGAGUACGGCCGCAAGGCUAAAACUCAAAGGAAUUGACGGGGACCCGCACAAGCGGCGGAGCAUGCGGAUUAAUUCGAUGCAACGCGAAGAACCUUACCAAGGCUUGACAUACACGAGAACGCUGCAGAAAUGUAGAAUUCUUUGGACACUCGUGAACAGGUGGUGCAUGGUUGUCGUCAGCUCGUGUCGUGAGAUGUUGGGUUAAGUCCCGCAACGAGCGCAACCCUCGUUCUAUGUUGCCAGCACGUAAUGGUGGGAACUCAUGGGAUACUGCCGGGGUCAACUCGGAGGAAGGUGGGGAUGACGUCAAAUCAUCAUGCCCCUUAUGUCUUGGGCUUCACGCAUGCUACAAUGGCCGGUACAAAGGGCUGCAAUACCGUGAGGUGGAGCGAAUCCCAAAAAGCCGGUCCCAGUUCGGAUUGAGGUCUGCAACUCGACCUCAUGAAGUCGGAGUCGCUAGUAAUCGCAGAUCAGCAACGCUGCGGUGAAUACGUUCCCGGGUCUUGUACACACCGCCCGUCAAGUCAUGAAAGUCGGUAACACCUGAAGCCG